RNAcentral lists this transfer RNA (75 nucleotides) under Candidatus Aenigmatarchaeota archaeon. Its description in RNAcentral is "tRNA-Pro". It matches the Rfam family "tRNA". From Rfam's summary of the family: Transfer RNA (tRNA) molecules are approximately 80 nucleotides in length. Their secondary structure includes four short double-helical elements and three loops (D, anti-codon, and T loops). Further hydrogen bonds mediate the characteristic L-shaped molecular structure. tRNAs have two regions of fundamental functional importance: the anti-codon, which is responsible for specific mRNA codon recognition, and the 3' end, to which the tRNAs corresponding amino acid is attached (by aminoacyl-tRNA synthetases). tRNAs cope with the degeneracy of the genetic code in two manners: having more than one tRNA (with a specific anti-codon) for a particular amino acid; and 'wobble' base-pairing, i.e. permitting non-standard base-pairing at the 3rd anti-codon position. The record is from RNAcentral. Lineage: Archaea; Nanobdellati; Candidatus Aenigmatarchaeota. RNAcentral also lists the same sequence under 1 other name.
GGGCUCGUCGUUUAGUUUGGUCUAGGAUUUAAGCUUGGGGUGCUUAAGACGGGAGUUCAAAUCUCCCCGAGCCCA